RNAcentral lists this unclassified non-coding RNA (222 nucleotides) under uncultured Geodermatophilaceae bacterium. Its description in RNAcentral is "contains 16S-23S intergenic spacer region". Lineage: Bacteria; Bacillati; Actinomycetota; Actinomycetes; Geodermatophilales; Geodermatophilaceae. The record is from RNAcentral.
UCCGAGUUGACCCCGGCAGUCUCCUAUGAGUCCCCACCAUCACGUGCUGGCAACAUAGAACGAGGGUUGCGCUCGUUGCGGGACUUAACCCAACAUCUCACGACACGAGCUGACGACAACCAUGCACCACCUGUGCACGGCCCUUACGGACCUCCCAUCUCUGGAAGAUUUCCGUGCAUGUCAAGCCUAGGUAAGGUGGGGAUGACGUGGGGAAUGUCGAUA